AAGAGCAGAGCGCGCGUGCGCAAGUCUCCCCGCACCCGUCGGUCCCGGGACGCCACGCACGCGCCGCGCGCGCACUCGAUGCGUUCCGAGUCACCCGGGAAGUGGGGAAACAGCCCUGGGCUCCACCACAGCAACACCGUGCAAGGUCUCACACUCCAGCCCUCAGUUGUACCAACGGUAAGAGCCGAGGAUAGAAGAAGACAUUGGUCUCAGCCACGUCCAUGGAGGUAACCAGCUGUCGGACGUAGGCACGGUCGUCAGUAGUGACUUCAGCUCCAGGCUGCAGGACAUCACUCUUCAACACACAGUUCAGGACUGACCCGUACUCGUCCGGACCCGCAUCACAGCAUCAAAGCCAACAACCUUCUGUACAUCCCGACGCAAGUCACUCAGGAACCGUUCCUGGUCAUUCUCCACCUGCAGCCCCCCAGGCCCAGAGUCACAUCAC
Molecule: long non-coding RNA, 448 nt
Organism: Rhinolophus ferrumequinum (greater horseshoe bat)
Lineage: Eukaryota; Metazoa; Chordata; Mammalia; Chiroptera; Rhinolophidae
Exons: 3
Source: RefSeq, a predicted model, not a curated record